This 105-nucleotide non-coding RNA is filed under the name Actinacidiphila glaucinigra. Its description in RNAcentral is "Streptomyces glauciniger Glycine sequence". It matches the Rfam family "Glycine riboswitch aptamer". Rfam says of the family: This family represents the bacterial glycine riboswitch. Glycine riboswitches usually consist of two metabolite-binding aptamers domains with similar structures in tandem. The record is from Rfam by way of RNAcentral. Lineage: Bacteria; Bacillati; Actinomycetota; Actinomycetes; Kitasatosporales; Streptomycetaceae.
UGACCCCUUGCGGGAGAGUCCUGGCGACGCGGGGAACCGCACGUCGGGCGCCGAAGGAGCAAACCCUCCCCGGAAUCUCUCAGGCAUCCGUACCGCAUGGGCGAG